This 578-nucleotide ribosomal RNA is filed under the name Rhodotorula sp. JZB2120002. RNAcentral describes it as "eukaryotic LSU rRNA". It matches the Rfam family "Eukaryotic large subunit ribosomal RNA", at positions 49 to 639 of the family's 3401-position model. Lineage: Eukaryota; Fungi; Basidiomycota; Microbotryomycetes; Sporidiobolales; Sporidiobolaceae. The record is from RNAcentral.
AGCGGAGGAAAAGAAACUAACAAGGAUUCCCCUAGUAGCGGCGAGCGAAGCGGGAAGAGCUCAAAUUUAUAAUCUGGCACCUUCGGUGUCCGAGUUGUAAUCUCUAGAAGUGUUUUCCGCGUUGGACCGCACACAAGUCUGUUGGAAUACAGCGGCAUAGUGGUGAAACCCCCGUAUAUGGUGCGGACGCCCAGCGCUUUGUGAUACACUUUCAAUGAGUCGAGUUGUUUGGGAAUGCAGCUCAAAUUGGGUGGUAAAUUCCAUCUAAAGCUAAAUAUUGGCGAGAGACCGAUAGCGAACAAGUACCGUGAGGGAAAGAUGAAAAGCACUUUGGAAAGAGAGUUAACAGUACGUGAAAUUGUUGGAAGGGAAACGCUUGAAGUCAGACUUGCUUGCCGGAGCUUGCUUCGGUUUGCAGGCCAGCAUCAGUUUUCCGGGGUGGAUAAUGACGGUUUGAAGGUAGCAGUCUCGGCUGUGUUAUAGCUUUCCGUUGGAUACAUCCUGGGGGACUGAGGAACGCAGCGUGCUUUUUGCGAAAGACUCGUCUUUUUCACGCUUAGGAUGCUGGUGGAAUGGCU